This 492-nucleotide long non-coding RNA is filed under the name Musa acuminata (dwarf banana). RNAcentral's name for it is "long non-coding RNA (MACU_LNC006067)". The record is from RNAcentral. Lineage: Eukaryota; Viridiplantae; Streptophyta; Magnoliopsida; Zingiberales; Musaceae.
GACAAUUUGUUUUCUGGAGGGUGGCUACUUCUCAUCGGCGCUCGCUCCUUAAAAGUGCGUGGCGCGUGCUGCACACACAUGGGUCGAGGAGUCGUGUUUGAGCUCCAUUUCUAAGGGAGGCCCGAUCCUCUGUGCCUACAAGUCCACGAUCAAUUAGAGGCAAGGAAUGAGGUGAAACGUCGAUCAUAUCGGGCCCACUCACUUGAGCAAAUCAUCUUCAGAAGUUUAUGGUUAGCAUGCUCUGACCCGUACAGAAGAUCCCGACUCGCUUUUCCAGUUGGUUUUAUAUUCAUAAGCUUUUCGCCUCAGCCGCCUGCGAUGACGAGAAGAAGAGUUAAAUUAAAGCAGGAAGUAUGAUAUGAUCCUUUCCUCUUCACCUAACAAACAUCCCGACGGCAGUGAUUGCGGACCAAUAGGAGUCAUCCUUAUGGCCUUUGGUACUCAAUUUAGGCCUCGGUAACAUGCGUUCUCGAGUUGAGCCCUUAGCUGCUG